RNAcentral lists this long non-coding RNA (210 nucleotides) under Elaeis guineensis (African oil palm). Its description in RNAcentral is "long non-coding RNA (EGUI_LNC055198)". The record is from RNAcentral. Lineage: Eukaryota; Viridiplantae; Streptophyta; Magnoliopsida; Arecales; Arecaceae.
CCAUCUUAUGAAUUAUCCUGACCAAAAUUUUACUAAAUUGAAAUACACUGAUGCAUAUCUCCUACUAAUUCAGAGGGGUCAAUUCCAUCUUGACUCACACACCGACUUGAUAAGUAUUUAACUGCACCCAAUAGCCUUCCGUCACUGAGUUAGAAACUUAGAUGGUCUGAUACUAAAGUAUAGUGAGUUGCUUAUAAGUCACCGUGGUGG